AUCAUGGCUCAGGAUGAACGCUAGCUACAGGCUUAACACAUGCAAGUCGAGGGGCAGCAUUUUUCUAGCAAUAGAAGAGAUGGCGACCGGCGCACGGGUGAGUAACACGUAUCCAACCUACCGAUAACUCCGGAAUAGCCUUUCGAAAGAAAGAUUAAUACCGGAUAGUAUACGAAUAUCGCAUGAUAUUUUUAUUAAAGAAUUUCGGUUAUCGAUGGGGAUGCGUUCCAUUAGUUUGUUGGCGGUACGG
Molecule: ribosomal RNA, 250 nt
Filed under: uncultured bacterium
Lineage: Bacteria
Description: partial 16S ribosomal RNA
Rfam family: Bacterial small subunit ribosomal RNA
Source: RNAcentral